Molecule: ribosomal RNA, 468 nt
Filed under: uncultured bacterium
Lineage: Bacteria
Description: partial 16S ribosomal RNA
Rfam family: Bacterial small subunit ribosomal RNA
Source: RNAcentral
GAUGAACGCUGGCGGCGUGCUUAACACAUGCAAGUCGAACGAAAAGGCGCUGCUUUUGUGGGUUGGUCGUGUGGCGAGCGGGUGAGAAAAACGUGAGUAAACUGUCCUUGACUUUGGGAUAACACCAGGAAAAAGGGGCUAUUACCGGAUAGGAGAUACUGAUCCACGGUGUGGGUUGGAAAGUUUCGGCGGUUGGGGAUGGACUCGAGGCUUAUCAGCUUGUUGGUGGGGUAGUGGCUUACCAAGGCUUUGACGGGUAGCCGGCCUGAGAGGGUGACCGGCCACAUGGGGACUGCGAUACGGCCCAGACUCCUACGGGCCGCAGCAGGGGAGAGUAUUGCGCAAUGGGCGGAAGCCUGAUGUAGCAACGCCGCGUUCGGGAUGACGGCCUUCGAGUUGUAAACCGCUGUCGCCGUUGACGAAGCGUGAGUGACGGUAAUGGGUAAGGAAGCACCGGCUAACUACGUG